UAACGAGCGCAACCCUAUCAUUAGUUGCCAUCAGGUCAAGCUGGGGACUCUAAUGAAACUGCCUACGCAAGUAGUGAGGAAGGUGGGGAUGACGUCAAAUCAGCACGGCCCUUACGUCCAGGGCUACACACGUGCUACAAUGGCCGGUACAAAGGGCAGCUACCUGGUGACAGGAUGCUAAUCUCAAAAGCCGGUCUCAGUUCGGAUCGGAGUCUGCAACCCGACUCCGUGAAGCUGGAAUCGCUAGCAAUCGCGGAUCAGAACGCCGCGGUGAAUACGUUCUCGGGCCUU
Molecule: ribosomal RNA, 291 nt
Filed under: uncultured Sphingobacteriales bacterium
Lineage: Bacteria; Pseudomonadati; Bacteroidota; Sphingobacteriia; Sphingobacteriales
Description: partial 16S ribosomal RNA
Rfam family: Bacterial small subunit ribosomal RNA
Source: RNAcentral